UAAAUAACCCUGCUAGUUUUAAAGUUACCACAGAUGACUUUCUUCUAUCUCUUCUUUAAAUAUUUCAAGGUGUGACAUCUGGAAUGUUCCAUGAAAGCUGAGCCUGAGACACAGCUGCAGUGAAGGAACCAAUUUAGGACACCACGCUCAAAGAAAUCAAGACACCCACAGUAUAAUGGUAUUCUGCAAGUGUGUUUGCAUUACACACACCAGAAGUGUCAUCCAUGGCCUUGCAAAGAUGUCACUCAGGGUACCAUCUGCUCCAUCUGUCAAACUGUGGACAAUGCCGUCAUUCACUUAGUCAACGGGCACAACAAGAAUGCAGCCAUAGGACCUUUAAAGUGAUCGUCAUUUUUCCCACAUCGUUAUCAAAGUUAUUUUAUUCCAGUUAUUACACGGGGACGGGCAUGGCCUUCCAGCAAUUAAUGGGCAGCACAAGUCUCAGCAAAGAAAGUGGGCCUGCACAUAAGAGUACCUCUGGGAGGCCUUGGAAAAGUUACUUCUUUGGAGCCCAUCUCCCAGGAUUUCCCUGCCUUGUUGUUGCUUUGUCCAAAAAUGUAACUUUUCGAAGGUCUGAGCUCUGCAUACAGACAGGUGCAUUCAUUCCCACGAUACAUGUGCUUCCUAAGGCAGGGGACGACAGUGGCCGGAGCACGUGUGUAAANNNNNNNNNNNNNCAGAGAGGCCGAGGAGGAGGAAGGCCCAGGGGGCGGCGGCGGCGGCGGCGGCGGCUGGGGUUCCGGCGAAGCGCCCGCCAGGGUCCCAACCGGCGCUGCCAUGUCGCUCCCGCCUUGGUUCGCCUUCGCCGGCCUCUUCCACGCCGACAGUCACACACCCCCUCCUAGAACCGCACUUGGUCUCUGCCGCGCUCACCUCACCGAAUGGAGCAGCCCGCCCAGAGUGAAACGCACUGGCUCGCUCCUUCCGGUCCUGCUAGAGUCACUUUCCUACACUCUGGCUUCCGUUGGCCAGAUUAUUUCCGGCACGAAUGAGAAACGGGACACAUAGACAUACGAAUUAGAGUGACAACUUCCGGUCCGUUUUUUUUUA
RNAcentral lists this long non-coding RNA (1050 nucleotides) under Pogona vitticeps (central bearded dragon). Its description in RNAcentral is "lncRNA (ENSPVIG00000023980.1)". The record is from RNAcentral. Lineage: Eukaryota; Metazoa; Chordata; Lepidosauria; Squamata; Agamidae.